Molecule: ribosomal RNA, 450 nt
Filed under: uncultured bacterium
Lineage: Bacteria
Description: partial 16S ribosomal RNA
Rfam family: Bacterial small subunit ribosomal RNA
Source: RNAcentral
GUGGGGAAUUUUGGACAAUGGGCGAAAGCCUGAUCCAGCAAUGCCGCGUGCAGGAUGAAGGCCCUCGGGUUGUAAACUGCUUUUGUACGGAACGAAAAGCCUGGGGCUAAUAUCCCCGGGUCAUGACGGUACCGUAAGAAUAAGCACCGGCUAACUACGUGCCAGCAGCCGCGGUAAUACGUAGGGUGCAAGCGUUAAUCGGAAUUACUGGGCGUAAAGCGUGCGCAGGCGGUUUUGUAAGACAGUGGUGAAAUCCCCGGGCUCAACCUGGGAACUGCCAUUGUGACUGCAAAGCUAGAGUGCGGCAGAGGGGGAUGGAAUUCCGCGUGUAGCAGUGAAAUGCGUAGAUAUGCGGAGGAACACCGAUGGCGAAGGCAAUCCCCUGGGCCUGCACUGACGCUCAUGCACGAAAGCGUGGGGAGCAAACAGGAUUAGAAACCCUGGUAGUCC